GGGGAUGAUCGGUUUCGACGGUCGGUAGUAUCUUGAGGGAAGCGGGUCGAGGAAGUAUUCUCAUCUCGUUAACGCGGAUACAAAACCAAUAAGUGCCAAACAGAAUCGCACUGAAUCCUUCGCUCUGGCUGCAUAAUCCCAGAGGAACUGAUUCCGUCAGCCUGUGCACGCUUCGGGCAUAGUAACUGGCGUCGUUCACGAAGCCACUGGAACCACCUGGGUUACUUAGGUUCGGUUCGACACUUAAGGUAACUUUGGUCUGUGCUAGCCCUGUUUGCGGGUCGGCCCGGGCCGAGAAUUCAAGGCAAACUGCACCCGGAGAAGACUCAAGUAUUCCCGAUCGGACCGGGGUUCGAUUCCCCGCAUCUCCACU
This 373-nucleotide transfer-messenger RNA is filed under the name uncultured Mobiluncus sp. It matches the Rfam family "transfer-messenger RNA". From Rfam's summary of the family: Bacterial tmRNA, also known as 10Sa RNA or SsrA, is named for its dual tRNA and mRNA-like properties. Its role is to liberate the mRNA from a stalled ribosome. The record is from RNAcentral. Lineage: Bacteria; Bacillati; Actinomycetota; Actinomycetes; Actinomycetales; Actinomycetaceae.